RNAcentral lists this unclassified non-coding RNA (225 nucleotides) under plant metagenome. Its description in RNAcentral is "partial contains small subunit ribosomal RNA and internal transcribed spacer 1". The stretch from base 1 to 46 matches the Rfam family "Eukaryotic small subunit ribosomal RNA", at positions 1786 to 1831 of the family's 1831-position model. The record is from RNAcentral.
AAGUCGUAACAAGGUUUCCGUAGGUGAACCUGCGGAAGGAUCAUUAAUGAGUUAGGGUCUCCGGGCCCGACCUCCAACCCUUUGUUGUCACAAAACCAAUUGUUGCUUUGGCGUGGACCGCCCGCGAGGGCUGCCGGUCUUAGGCCCGGCAUGCGCCCGCCAGAGGAAAACCAAACUCUUGUAUUAAACCAAUCGUCUGAGUAUAAAAUUUUAAUUAAAUUAAAA